Molecule: long non-coding RNA, 235 nt
Filed under: Gallus gallus (chicken)
Lineage: Eukaryota; Metazoa; Chordata; Aves; Galliformes; Phasianidae
Source: RNAcentral
AGGUUGUUCUUUGAAAUAUCAUGUUGUCCUUGUUCUUCAGACUCAUUUCAGCUCUGUGUUUGGAAAUCGCAUAGAACAGGUGAGGGGGGUUGUGCACAAGAACCCUGCCCUGGCAAAGGCUUGAUUUCAUGAAAAGGGAUUACCCACAAAAAAGCACAGCUGCCAUCAGCCUGACAAUUCACAAAGGAUCAUCUCCUAGUGCCUCAGAAAAGUGUCUUCCCACCUGUGAUGCGGC